This 432-nucleotide ribosomal RNA is filed under the name uncultured bacterium. Its description in RNAcentral is "bacterial SSU rRNA". It matches the Rfam family "Bacterial small subunit ribosomal RNA", at positions 338 to 795 of the family's 1533-position model. The record is from RNAcentral.
CCUANGGGAGGCAGCAACUGGGAAUAUUGCGCAAUGGACGAAAGUCUGACGCAGCGACUCCGCGUGAGGGAUGAAGGUCCUUGGAUCGUAAACCUCUUUUGACCCGGCAUAUGCCGGGUAGAAUAAGCACCUGCUAACCACGUGCCAGCAGCCGCGGUAAUACGUGGGGUGCAAGCGUUAUCCGGAUUUAUUGGGCGUAAAGAGUUCGUAGGCGUUUUGUUAAGUUUUGUUUGAAAGACCGAGGCUCAACCUUGGAACCGGACAAAAUACUGGCAGAAUCGAGUUGGUCAGGGGGUACUGGAACUGAUAGUGUAGCAGUGAAAUGCGUUGAUAUUAUCAGGAACACCAAGGGCGAAGGCAGGUACCUGGGACCACACUGACGCUGAGGAACGAAAGCUAGGGGAGCGAAAGGGAUUAGAUACCCGGNUANUC